CAGCAGCCGCGGUAAUACGUAUGCCACAAGCGUUAUCCGGAUUUAUUGGGCGUAAAGCGCGUCUAGGUGGUUAUGUAAGUCUGAUGUGAAAAUGCAGGGCUCAACUCUGUAUUGCGUUGGAAACUGUGUAACUAGAGUACUGGAGAGGUAAGCGGAACUACAAGUGUAGAGGUGAAAUUCGUAGAUAUUUGUAGGAAUGCCGAUGGGGAAGCCAGCUUACUGGACAGAUACUGACGCUAAAGCGCGAAAGCGUGGGCAGCAAACAGGAUUAGAUACCCCUGUAGUCCCUGUCUCUUAUACA
This 301-nucleotide ribosomal RNA is filed under the name uncultured bacterium. RNAcentral describes it as "partial 16S ribosomal RNA". It matches the Rfam family "Bacterial small subunit ribosomal RNA", at positions 509 to 808 of the family's 1533-position model. The record is from RNAcentral.